This 404-nucleotide ribosomal RNA is filed under the name uncultured prokaryote. RNAcentral's name for it is "bacterial SSU rRNA". It matches the Rfam family "Bacterial small subunit ribosomal RNA", at positions 355 to 776 of the family's 1533-position model. The record is from RNAcentral. RNAcentral also lists the same sequence under 1 other name.
UGGGGAAUAUUGCACAAUGGGGGAAACCCUGAUGCAGCAACGCCGCGUGGAGGAAGAAGGUUUUCGGAUUGUAAACUCCUGUCUUUUGGGACGAUAAUGACGGUACCAAAGGAGGAAGCCACGGCUAACUACGUGCCAGCAGCCGCGGUAAUACGUAGGUGGCGAGCGUUGUCCGGAAUUGCUGGGCGUAAAGGGCGCGUAGGCGGCCUGAUAAGUCAGAUGUGAAACCCCCAGGCUCAACUUGGGGCAUGCAUUUGAAACUGUCGGGCUCGAGUGUCGGAGAGGGAAGCGGAAUUCCUAGUGUAGCGGUGAAAUGCGUAGAUAUUAGGAGGAACACCAGUGGCGAAGGCGGCUUUCUGGACGAUAACUGACGCUGAGGCGCGAAAGCGUGGGGAGCAAACAGG